Acinonyx jubatus (cheetah) is the source of this 1145-nucleotide long non-coding RNA. RefSeq lists it as uncharacterized. Lineage: Eukaryota; Metazoa; Chordata; Mammalia; Carnivora; Felidae. The record is from RefSeq and is a predicted model, not a curated record. The transcript is spliced from 4 exons.
UUGGCAGUUCUUGUGAACAAUUUUCAAGUACUGUGUAUUCCUUCCCCAUCUGGCAGGUCCAGCAGGACCAAGGUUUAAAAAAAAAACACUCUUACAUGUGUCAUACCUUUCCUACUAGAUUAUCAGCCCCUUGGGGCAGGGAUUUUGGCUAAUUUAUGCAUACAUUCAAUAAAUGUUUAUUUUCUAGAUGUCAGCUGGGCCUACUCACUUACUGCCUGAAUCAAGUUUAUAAUCUAGAAAGUGGAGAAAAACCAGAAAAUCAAAAUACAAUGAGAUGAGAGUGCUUUGUUUUCCUCAGUCUCUGUGACUCUGGCCCUUUUUUCCACCCACAAAUGCUUCAUCCCUUGCUUGGAUGAUGUAGAAAGGUUAUCAGAAGCCCUGAAGUUCAACAUGCUGAUUUGCAAUCACUCACUCUGGAGGAAUUCAACUGCCAUGUCAGGAGGACACUCAAGUAGUUCUUGAAGAUGUAUAAGGGACGAGGAAAUGAUACCUCCUGCAACAACCAAAAUUAACUUGCCAGCCAUGUGGGUCCAAAUAGCUGGCUUAUAUAAAUGUUUCCACAGUAAUCAGGCUUUGACCUUUCCCUGAAUGGAUUUGCCACCAGAAUAAGUCCCUGGGCAACUGAGAAAGAGACACUGUAUCUCAAAACUGAAGAGGAACAACUUAGAAUGCUGGCAACAUGAAUAUAAUUCAAAUCAGUUAAAGCAUCAAAACAAAAAUACAGCCAAUAUAUGAAAUGUUUAUUUUUUGUAAAUUUUCCCUGUCACCUAAAUUAGACACUUAUAAAUUUGGAAAAUCCUUUGUUUAUGUAAGCAGAGAGUGAUUAAUCCAGUUCCAACAAAUUGUGUUGUACUUUGUAUAGAGGAUUAAUGGAUUUUCUUCCUGAGGCUUUCUUUCAAAAAAAUUAACCUGGUUUGCAAGAGGAAAGCUUAUAUAAUGGCAACCAAAAAUACCUGGAAUAUUUCAAAUAUUAAUCUCUAACCCCAAUAGCUUAGUACAGUGCCUGGCAUAUCAUUGGUAUUCAGUAAAUAGUUCUUGAAUUAUUGAGAGGAUGGAAAUUGGGCUUCUUGAACUUUAUUACAUGCAAAUAUGUCAAUUAGCUACAUAAUAUACAAGUUAAUACAUAUUUUUUGUAACUUUUCUUU